Molecule: ribosomal RNA, 163 nt
Filed under: Ulva sp. JGZ93
Lineage: Eukaryota; Viridiplantae; Chlorophyta; Ulvophyceae; Ulvales; Ulvaceae
Description: partial 18S ribosomal RNA
Rfam family: Eukaryotic small subunit ribosomal RNA
Source: RNAcentral
ACCGCCCGUCGCUCCUACCGAUUGAACGUGCUGGUGAAGCGUUAGGACUGGAACUUUGGGCCGGUUUCCUGCCCAUCGUUUCGGGAAUUUCGUUGAACCCUCCCGUUUAGGAACGAGAAGUCGUAACAACGUCUCCGUAUGUGAACCUGCGGAGGGAUCAUUG